RNAcentral lists this ribosomal RNA (478 nucleotides) under uncultured bacterium. RNAcentral describes it as "partial 16S ribosomal RNA". It matches the Rfam family "Bacterial small subunit ribosomal RNA", at positions 28 to 507 of the family's 1533-position model. The record is from RNAcentral.
GAUGAACGCUGGCGGCGUGCUUAACACAUGCAAGUCGAACGAGAAGUGAAGACGGAAACCGUCGGGCGGAAGGCUUUAUUUCGAGUGGCGGACGGGUGAGUAACGCGUGGGUAACCUGCCUCAUACAGGGGGAUAACAGUUGGAAACGACUGUUAAUACCGCAUAAGACCACAGCACCGCAUGGUGCGGGGGUAAAAACUCCGGUGGUAUGAGAUGGACCCGCGUUCGAUUAGCCAGUUGGCGGGGUAACGGCCCACCAAAGCGACGAUCGAUAGCCGAUCUGAGAGGAUGACCGGCCACAUUGGGACUGAGACACGGCCCAAACUCCUACGGGAGGCAGCAGUGGGGAAUAUUGCACAAUGGGGGAAACCCUGAUGCAGCGACGCCGCGUGAGUGAAGAAGUAUUUCGGUAUGUAAAGCUCUAUCAGCAGGGAAGAAAAUGACGGUACCUGAGUAAGAAGCCCCGGCUAACUACGUG